CGCGGUAUUAUGACCGUGCGAAGGUAGCAUAAUCAUUAGUCUUUUAAUUGAGGGCUGGUAUGAAUGGUUGGACGAGAAAUGAGCUGUCUUAAGUUUUGAAAAUUGAACUUAACUUUUAAGUGAGAAGGCUUAAAUAGACUAGAGGGACGAUAAGACCCUAUAAAGUUUUGACACUAAAUUAAUUAAAGGUGAUUUGGGUUAUAAAGUUUUAUUAUUAAAUAAGUGUUUAGUUGGGGCGACUAGGAUAUAAGUGAUUUAACUGUUUCUUCGUUUAAACCAAAAAUAUUUGGGUUUAUGAUCCUUUUUUAGGAUUUUUAGAGUAAAUUACUUUAGGGAUAACAGCGUAAUUUUUUUUGAGAGUUCUUAUCGAUAAGAGAGUUUGCGACCUCGAUGUUGAAUUAAAAUUUCUUUGUGGCGCAGCAGUUGCAGGAGGAGGUCUGUUCGACCUUUAAAUUUUUACAUGAUUUGA
Molecule: ribosomal RNA, 469 nt
Filed under: Cherax rotundus
Lineage: Eukaryota; Metazoa; Arthropoda; Malacostraca; Decapoda; Parastacidae
Description: partial 16S ribosomal RNA
Rfam family: Archaeal large subunit ribosomal RNA
Source: RNAcentral